This 856-nucleotide ribosomal RNA is filed under the name Rhizobium sp. LR18. Its description in RNAcentral is "bacterial SSU rRNA". It matches the Rfam family "Bacterial small subunit ribosomal RNA", at positions 135 to 1026 of the family's 1533-position model. Lineage: Bacteria; Pseudomonadati; Pseudomonadota; Alphaproteobacteria; Hyphomicrobiales; Rhizobiaceae. The record is from RNAcentral.
CCUGCGGAAUAGCUCCGGGAAACUGGAAUUAAUACCGCAUACGCCCUACGGGGGAAAGAUUUAUCGGGGAAGGAUGGGCCCGCGUUGGAUUAGCUAGUUGGUGGGGUAAAGGCCUACCAAGGCGACGAUCCAUAGCUGGUCUGAGAGGAUGAUCAGCCACAUUGGGACUGAGACACGGCCCAAACUCCUACGGGAGGCAGCAGUGGGGAAUAUUGGACAAUGGGCGCAAGCCUGAUCCAGCCAUGCCGCGUGAGUGAUGAAGGCCUUAGGGUUGUAAAGCUCUUUCACCGGAGAAGAUAAUGACGGUAUCCGGAGAAGAAGCCCCGGCUAACUUCGUGCCAGCAGCCGCGGUAAUACGAAGGGGGCUAGCGUUGUUCGGAAUUACUGGGCGUAAAGCGCACGUAGGCGGAUAUUUAAGUCAGGGGUGAAAUCCCAGAGCUCAACUCUGGAACUGCCUUUGAUACUGGGUAUCUUGAGUAUGGAAGAGGUAAGUGGAAUUCCGAGUGUAGAGGUGAAAUUCGUAGAUAUUCGGAGGAACACCAGUGGCGAAGGCGGCUUACUGCUCCAUUACUGACGCUGAGGUGCGAAAGCGUGGGGAGCAAACAGGAUUAGAUACCCUGUUAGUCCACGCCGUAAACGAUGAAUGUUAGCCGUCGGGCAGUAUACUGUUCGGUGGCGCAGCUAACGCAUUAAACAUUCCGCCUGGGAGUACGGUCGCAAGAUUAAAACUCAAAGGAAUUGACGGGGGCCGCACAAGCGGUGGAGCAUGUGCUUUAAUUCGAAGCAACGCGCAGAACCUUAACAGCUCUUGACAUUCGGGGUUUGGGCAGUGGAGACAUUGUCCUUCAGUUAGGCU